UCAAAGUAAUAUAUGAUUUUACCAAAUACGAUUACUGCAAGAAUGACAACUGUAAAGAUUUAAAAAUUUGAGAAAACCAUAAGGUCAUGUUGACUUUAGGAAAGUCAAGCAUUUUUUGCGACAUUUGUUAACAAAAAGCUUGUGUUUCCUACAGUGACCUGGGAAACCAUAGUCGGGGGGAUGUGUGCCUCAAGACAAGAUGUCACUGAUUUUAUCAGUCAGUUGUUCAUGCAGCUGGGAUCUGUGGGGAUGUAUGAUUUACCACAUCUGAGGAACAAACUGGUUAUUAAGUAGAGCAUCUGUUGAGGGGCUUUUUAAAAACCACAGCCAAGAACAGACUUUGGGCCUAAAAAGCAGAGCAGCAUACAGCAGUGGACCUACCUCUAGCAGCUAGCAAGGCCUGUGCAGCUGCACCCAUUUUGGAGCCUUUCUUUGGAGUCUUUUUUUAAAAUACAGAGGAGUCCUGGUGACCUACCUCCAAGGCAGCUGCCUCCUGAACGUUUCCUUGGAAAGCACUAACCACCAUUAUGGAAUGUGAACAACCAGAAACUGCACAGGAAAAAGGAAAAACGUAUCUGGAAGAAAUGAAGUCUCAGGUGGCUUCACUAUGAAGCUUUUUAAUAAAAGAAUAAUAU
Fukomys damarensis (Damara mole-rat) is the source of this 635-nucleotide long non-coding RNA. RefSeq lists it as uncharacterized. The transcript has 3 exons. Lineage: Eukaryota; Metazoa; Chordata; Mammalia; Rodentia; Bathyergidae. The record is from RefSeq and is a predicted model, not a curated record.